AGAGUUCGAUCCUGGCUCAGGACGAAUGCUGGCGGUGCGCUUAAUGCAUGCAAGUCGAGCGAAGCUUCAGAUAGCUUGCUAUUUGAAUGACUGAGCGGCGAACGGGUGAGUAACGCGUGAACAAUCUACCUUAAAUAUUAGGAUAGCUCAAGGAAACUUGAAUUAAUACUGAAUAAUCUUUCAAAUUCACAUGAAUUCUAAAGCAAAGGUCAGCCGAUUUAAGAUGAGUUCGCGUUCUAUCAGCUUGUUGGUAAGGUAAUGGCUUACCAAGGCUAUGACGGAUAGCUGGUCUGAGAGGACGAUCAGCCACACUGGGACUGAGACACGGCCCAGACUCCUACGGGAGGCUGCAGCAGGGAAUCUUGUGCAAUGAACGAAAGUUUGACACAGCGACACCGCGUGUGGGAUGACGGAUCUAGGUUUGUAAACCACUUUCAGGAGGGAAGAAAAUGGCGGUACCUCCACAAGAAGCCCCGGCCAACUACGUGCCAGCCGCCGCGGUAAUAC
RNAcentral lists this ribosomal RNA (507 nucleotides) under uncultured bacterium. RNAcentral's name for it is "bacterial SSU rRNA". It matches the Rfam family "Bacterial small subunit ribosomal RNA", at positions 8 to 526 of the family's 1533-position model. The record is from RNAcentral.